GACGAACGCUGGCGGCGUGCCUAAUACAUGCAAGUCGAGCGGACGGAUGGGAGCUUGCUCCCAGACCGUCAGCGGCGGACGGGUGAGUAACACGUGGGCAACCUGCCUGUAAGACUGGGAUAACUCCGGGAAACCGGGGCUAAUACCGGAUAACUCUUUCCCUCACAUGAGGGAAAGCUGAAAGAUGGCAUCUCGCUAUCACUUACAGAUGGGCCCGCGGCGCAUUAGCUAGUUGGUGAGGUAACGGCUCACCAAGGCGACGAUGCGUAGCCGACCUGAGAGGGGGAUCGGCCACACUGGGACUGAGACACGGCCCAGACUCCUACGGGAGGCAGCAGUAGGGAAUCUUCCGCAAUGGACGAAAGUCUGACGGAGCAACGCCGCGUGAGUGAUGAAGGUUUUCGGAUCGUAAAACUCUGUUGUCAGGGAAGAACAAGUACCGGAGUAACUGCCGGUACCUUGACGGUACCUGACCAGAAAGCCACGGCUAACUACGU
RNAcentral lists this ribosomal RNA (497 nucleotides) under uncultured bacterium. RNAcentral's name for it is "partial 16S ribosomal RNA". It matches the Rfam family "Bacterial small subunit ribosomal RNA", at positions 28 to 506 of the family's 1533-position model. The record is from RNAcentral.